RNAcentral lists this transfer RNA (75 nucleotides) under bacterium. RNAcentral's name for it is "tRNA-Asn". It matches the Rfam family "tRNA". From Rfam's summary of the family: Transfer RNA (tRNA) molecules are approximately 80 nucleotides in length. Their secondary structure includes four short double-helical elements and three loops (D, anti-codon, and T loops). RNAcentral also lists the same sequence under 2 other names. The record is from RNAcentral.
UCCGGCGUAGCGCAACGGUAGCGCGGCUGGCUGUUAACCAGUAGGUUGUAGGUUCGAAUCCUACCGCCGGAGCCA